UACGGGGGGGGCAAGCGUUGUUCGGAAUUACUGGGCGUAAAGGGCGCGUAGGCGGUUUGCUAAGUUGGAUGUGAAAACUCUGGGCUUAACCCAGAGCCUGCAUCCAAAACUGGCAAACUUGAGUACUGGAGGGGAAAGCGGAAUUCCUGGUGUAGCGGUGAAAUGCGUAGAUAUCAAGCGGAACACCGGUGGCGAAGGCGGCCUUCUGGACGAUGACUGACGCUGAGACGCGAAAGCGUGGGGAGCAAACAGG
Molecule: ribosomal RNA, 253 nt
Filed under: uncultured bacterium
Lineage: Bacteria
Description: partial 16S ribosomal RNA
Rfam family: Bacterial small subunit ribosomal RNA
Source: RNAcentral